Molecule: long non-coding RNA, 779 nt
Organism: Phyllopteryx taeniolatus (common seadragon)
Lineage: Eukaryota; Metazoa; Chordata; Actinopteri; Syngnathiformes; Syngnathidae
Exons: 4
Source: RefSeq, a predicted model, not a curated record
GUCUUGUGGAGUUUGUGUGUGAUCGUCAAGCCUCUGGAAAACUGCAAUGAGGAAUGGCACCCUGUCGAGGGCAACAAUGCCUUGAGGUGAACAUCCCUUCCUCAGAGAAAGGAGGAGGACGAGGCAGGGAAAAGGAGACAAGAAGAUGCAAGCAUAAUGACGGAAAAGAGGGAAGACAAAAUGGAACUACGGUACUAGAAAUUUAUUGCGCCAAGGCAAGAAAAAUAUUCCUGCGACUGACAGGAAUGACACCUUAGAUCAUCCGGGGGAAAUAAAGGAUAACGCUCUGAGCCGAUCCCUUUUUGGCAAAGCUAUCGUCGAAAAUGCCAGGCAAUUGUCAGCUGAUCGUCUGCCGACCAGGAUUUGAGUCAACGGGAUCCGGAAUCAUCAGAUGAGUGAACUCCCAUUGGAUCGCCUGGAAGCAGCCAAGCUUCAUCCCGAGAUCCUCUGGAUGAUAAUUGAGACGAAGCUCAUCCAUCUUGCAGUAAUGGAACACCCGCGAGUCGGACGUCUUUUAGGCUUGCGACAAAGUUAUGCAUUCAGCAGAUGUUCAAAUCCCAUUCCAGUACGCAAUGCAAACAAAAAAGGUUGUGCUUCAAGCAGAAGGGGGGACUGGUUUCCAGGAGAAUGACAACCACACAAAAUCCCAUUCAUCACCACCAAAGAAUAAAAUCCAGAUGUGGGGAAAACCUUGGUAGAUUUUAUGCACAAGGUAAUAAAAACCUGGACUAUUGAGCAAACGGUAGAGGAGGAAGAAAGUGCAGUUGAGGGAGCCGCAG